RNAcentral lists this ribosomal RNA (629 nucleotides) under uncultured Bacteroidota bacterium. Its description in RNAcentral is "bacterial SSU rRNA". It matches the Rfam family "Bacterial small subunit ribosomal RNA", at positions 61 to 691 of the family's 1533-position model. The record is from RNAcentral. Lineage: Bacteria; Pseudomonadati; Bacteroidota.
GUCGAGGGGUAUAGGUUUUCGGACCUAGAGACCGGCGCACGGGUGCGUAACGCGUAUGCAAUCUACCUUUUACAGAGGGAUAGCCCAGAGAAAUUUGGAUUAAUACCUCAUAGUAUAAUGACUCGGCAUCGAGAUAUUAUUAAAGUCACAACGGUAAAAGAUGAGCAUGCGUCCCAUUAGCUUGUUGGUAAGGUAACGGCUUACCAAGGCAACGAUGGGUAGGGGUCCUGAGAGGGAGAUCCCCCACACUGGUACUGAGACACGGACCAGACUCCUACGGGAGGCAGCAGUGAGGAAUAUUGGUCAAUGGGCGCAAGCCUGAACCAGCCAUGCCGCGUGCAGGAUGAAGCAUCUAUGGUGUGUAAACUGCUUUUGUACGAGAAGAAACACUCCUACGUGUAGGAGCUUGACGGUAUCGUAAGAAUAAGGACCGGCUAACUCCGUGCCAGCAGCCGCGGUAAUACGGAGGGUCCAAGCGUUAUCCGGAAUCAUUGGGUUUAAAGGGUCCGUAGGCGGUUUUGUAAGUCAGUGGUGAAAGCCCAUCGCUCAACGGUGGAACGGCCAUUGAUACUGCAAGACUUGAAUUAUUGGGAAGCAACUAGAAUAUGUAGUGUAGCGGUGAAAUGCUU